Long non-coding RNA from Oncorhynchus keta (chum salmon), 593 nucleotides. RefSeq lists it as uncharacterized. The transcript has 3 exons. The record is from RefSeq and is a predicted model, not a curated record. Lineage: Eukaryota; Metazoa; Chordata; Actinopteri; Salmoniformes; Salmonidae.
UUUAGGUUCCCCUUUAGACCGGGCCGGGUGAUCAGGUCUAUUUAGGUUCCCCUUUAGACUGGGCCGGGUGAUCAGGUCUAUUUAGGUUCCCCUUUAGACUGGGCCGGGUGAUCAGGUCUAUUUAGGUUCCCCUUUAGACUGGGCCGGGUGAUCAGGUCUAUUUAGGUUCCCCUUUAGACUGGGCCGGGUGAUCAGGUCUAUUUAGGUUCCCCUUUAGACUGGGCCGGGUGAUCAGGUCUAUUUAGGUUCCCCUUUAGACUGGGCCGGGUGAUCAGGUCUAUUUAGGUUCCCCUUUAGACUGGGCCGGGUGAUCAGGUCUAUUUAGGUUCCCCUUUAGACUGGGCCGGGUGAUCAGGUCUAUUUAGGUUCCCCUUUAGACUGGGCCGGGUGAUCAGGUCUAUUUAGGUUCCCCUUUAGACUGGGCUGGGUGAUCAGGUCUAUUUAGGUUCCCCUUUAGACUGGGCCGGUUGAUCAGGUCUCUUGUUUUGUUUAGUGUUCCCCUGUUGCUUUGUUAUUUUGCUGUGAAGACUUUAGUAAAUGUUCUGGAUUCACCCUCACCUCUACCUGCUGUGUUUCUCUGCUCCUGGGUCCAA